RNAcentral lists this transfer RNA (72 nucleotides) under Macrotermes carbonarius. Its description in RNAcentral is "tRNA-Lys". The record is from RNAcentral. Lineage: Eukaryota; Metazoa; Arthropoda; Insecta; Blattodea; Termitidae.
CAUCAGAUGACUGAAAGCAAGUAAUGGUCUCUUAAACCAGCUCAUGAUAUCCAUAGCAAGUAUCUCUGAUGA